CCGGCGAUUUCCGAAUGGGGAAACCCAGUGUGUUUCGACACACUAUCAUUAACUGAAUCCAUAGGUUAAUGAGGCGAACCGGGGGAACUGAAACAUCUAAGUACCCCGAGGAAAAGAAAUCAACCGAGAUUCCCCCAGUAGCGGCGAGCGAACGGGGAGGAGCCCAGAGCCUGAAUCAGUGUGUGUGUUAGUGGAAGCGUCUGGAAAGGCGCGCGAUACAGGGUGACAGCCCCGUACACAAAAAUGCACAUAUUGUGAGCUCGAUGAGUAGGGCGGGACACGUGGUAUCCUGUCUGAAUAUGGGGGGACCAUCCUCCAAGGCUAAAUACUCCUGACUGACCGAUAGUGAACCAGUACCGUGAGGGAAAGGCGAAAAGAACCCCGGCGAGGGGAGUGAAAAAGAACCUGAAACCGUGUACGUACAAGCAGUGGGAGCCUCUUAAUGGGGUGACUGCGUACCUUUUGUAUAAUGGGUCAGCGACUUAUAUUCUGUAGCAAGGUUAACCGAAUAGGGGAGCCGAAGGGAAACCGAGUCUUAACUGGGCGUUAAGUUGCAGGGUAUAGACCCGAAACCCGGUGAUCUAGCCAUGGGCAGGUUGAAGGUUGGGUAACACUAACUGGAGGACCGAACCGACUAAUGUUGAAAAAUUAGCGGAUGACUUGUGGCUGGGGGUGAAAGGCCAAUCAAACCGGGAGAUAGCUGGUUCUCCCCGAAAGCUAUUUAGGUAGCGCCUCGUGAAUUCAUCUCCGGGGGUAGAGCACUGUUUCGGCAAGGGGGUCAUCCCGACUUACCAACCCGAUGCAAACUGCGAAUACCGGAGAAUGUUAUCACGGGAGACACACGGCGGGUGCUAACGUCCGUCGUGAAGAGGGAAACAACCCAGACCGCCAGCUAAGGUCCCAAAGUCAUGGUUAAGUGGGAAACGAUGUGGGAAGGCCCAGACAGCCAGGAUGUUGGCUUAGAAGCAGCCAUCAUUUAAAGAAAGCGUAAUAGCUCACUGGUCGAGUCGGCCUGCGCGGAAGAUGUAACGGGGCUAAACCAUGCACCGAAGCUGCGGCAGCGACACUAUGUGUUGUUGGGUAGGGGAGC
RNAcentral lists this ribosomal RNA (1090 nucleotides) under Escherichia coli. RNAcentral's name for it is "partial 23S ribosomal RNA". It matches the Rfam family "Bacterial large subunit ribosomal RNA", at positions 104 to 1237 of the family's 2925-position model. The record is from RNAcentral. Lineage: Bacteria; Pseudomonadati; Pseudomonadota; Gammaproteobacteria; Enterobacterales; Enterobacteriaceae.